CAGUCGCCGCGGUAACACGUAGGCAGCGAGCGUUGUUCGGAAUUACUGGGCGUAAAGAGUGUGUAGGCGGUGCUCUAAGUUCGGUGUGAAAUCUCCUGGCUUAACUGGGAGGGUGCGCCGGAAACUGGAGUGCUCGAGCGUGGGAGAGGAAAGCGGAAUUCCUGGUGUAGCGGUGAAAUGCGUAGAUAUCAGGAGGAACACCUGUGGUGUAGACGGCUUUCUGGACCAUUGCUGACGCUGAGACACGAAAGCGUGGGUAGCAAACAGGAUUAGAUACCCCUGUAGUCCCUGUCUCUUAUAC
This 301-nucleotide ribosomal RNA is filed under the name uncultured bacterium. RNAcentral's name for it is "partial 16S ribosomal RNA". It matches the Rfam family "Bacterial small subunit ribosomal RNA", at positions 509 to 807 of the family's 1533-position model. The record is from RNAcentral.